CCCUUUGUCGCUAAGAUUCGAC
RNAcentral lists this non-coding RNA (22 nucleotides) under Arabidopsis thaliana (thale cress). Lineage: Eukaryota; Viridiplantae; Streptophyta; Magnoliopsida; Brassicales; Brassicaceae. The record is from RNAcentral.